GGGUCAAUAUGUUGGUCGUGCCUUGGUACGUACUAGUUUAUUGGUUUCUUCCUUCUGACGAACCAUGAUGUCAUUAAUUUGGUGUCAUGGGAAAUCAGGACUGUUACUUUGAAAAAAUUAGAGUGUUUAAAGCAAGCUAACGCUUGAAUACAUUAGCAUGGAAUAAUGAAAUAGGACGUUCGAUCCUAUUUUGUUGGUUUCUAGGAUCGACGUA
Molecule: ribosomal RNA, 214 nt
Filed under: Campeiostachys nutans
Lineage: Eukaryota; Viridiplantae; Streptophyta; Magnoliopsida; Poales; Poaceae
Description: Elymus nutans partial small subunit ribosomal RNA
Rfam family: Eukaryotic small subunit ribosomal RNA (bases 37-214)
Source: RNAcentral